GUUUCCUCAUUGAGCUCCUUUCUUCUUCUCUUCGAUUCCACGAAUUCGUGGGCCGAAAGGUCAUCUCUCUCUCUCUCUCUCUCUAGGUUCUCGGCGAUUUCAACGCUACGCAGUAGGGGGGAAAUCGUAGAGGGUUGGAUUGGAAGAAGGAUGCCCCACAGGACGCGGCCAUUGGCAGGGCUCUUGAUUUUCACCGGAAUAAACAUUGUGUUGGUGGAGACGAUCACUCCAGUCUAUGACUUUGUCUGCUUCCUUCCUUACUGGGAAAGAAGGAGAGAACGAAUCCGGCAGGAGCGUGAAGCUGUUGCAUUAUCAAAGGGCACAAACUAAACUAAAGUGGCAUUAUAUCCUUUACUUUGUAUCUCGGACCAUACCCUUCAAACGGAUUAUUGUGGGGCUUGAAAUGGAUUGUAGGCCUUGGGCCUCGUCCUGUACCGUGCUCAAGCAAAAGCACAGUGGGUAAUGGAACUGUCCACUCCGAACAAAUAUUUAAUCACGGGCAUAUUAGAGCGCGUAUAAAAAGGGGUGAAGGAAUAUUCCAUACAUGUGUGAAUUUAUACGGACUCAUCAUUCCGAAACUCCCGUAUCAUGUUUUAUAUUUUUUUUCAGCA
Long non-coding RNA from Tarenaya hassleriana, 611 nucleotides. RefSeq lists it as uncharacterized. The record is from RefSeq and is a predicted model, not a curated record. The transcript has 3 exons. Lineage: Eukaryota; Viridiplantae; Streptophyta; Magnoliopsida; Brassicales; Cleomaceae.